GAUGAAGAACGUAGCGAAAUGCGAUAAGUAAUGUGAAUUGCAGAAUUCAGUGAAUCAUCGAAUCUUUGAACGCAUCUUGCGCUCCUUGGUAUUCUGAGGAGCAUGCCUGUUUGAGUGUCAUUAAAUUCUCAACUACACUGACUUUGAAUUGGUGUGGCUUGGAUUUGGGGGGAAAAUUGUUGUGGGCUUUUUGUAUAGUCUGCUCCCCUGAAAUUGAUUAGCGGUACCUUUGUGGAACUGUCUACAGGUGUGAUAAUUAUCUACAUCUUAGACANNNNNNNGAAUGCUGCUUUCUAAACCUUACUUGUAUUGACAAUCUUGACCUCAAAUCAGGUAGGACUACCCGCUGAACUUAAGCAUAUCAAUAAGCGGAGGA
RNAcentral lists this unclassified non-coding RNA (376 nucleotides) under soil metagenome. RNAcentral's name for it is "partial contains 5.8S ribosomal RNA, internal transcribed spacer 2, and large subunit ribosomal RNA". The stretch from base 1 to 120 matches the Rfam family "5.8S ribosomal RNA", at positions 35 to 154 of the family's 154-position model. The record is from RNAcentral.